CAGGACGUCUCACGCGACGACGGGUAGCCGGCCUGAGAGGGCGACCGGCCACACUGGGACUGAGACACGGCCCAGACUCCUACGGGAGGCAGCAGUGGGGAAUAUUGCACAAUGGGCGAAAGCCUGAUGCAGCGACGCCGCGUGAGGGAUGACGGCCUUCGGGUUGUAAACCUCUUUCAGCAGGGAAGAAGCGAAAGUGACGGUACCUGCAGAAGAAGCGCCGGCUAACUACGUGCCAGCAGCCGCGGUAAUACGUAGGGCGCAAGCGUUGUCCGGAAUUAUUGGGCGUAAAGAGCUCGUAGGCGGCUUGUCACGUCGGAUGUGAAAGCCCGGGGCUUAACCCCGGGUCUGCAUUCGAUACGGGCUAGCUAGAGUGUGGUAGGGGAGAUCGGAAUUCCUGGUGUAGCGGUGAAAUGCGCAGAUAUCAGGAGGAACACCGGUGGCGAAGGCGGAUCUCUGGGCCAUUACUGACGCUGAGGAGCGAAAGCGUGGGGAGCGAACAGGAUUAGAUACCCUGGUAGUCCACGCCGUAAACGUUGGGAACUAGGUGUUGGCGACAUUCCACGUCGUCGGUGCCGCAGCUAACGCAUUAAGUUCCCCGCCUGGGGAGUACGGA
RNAcentral lists this ribosomal RNA (616 nucleotides) under Streptomyces sp. RNAcentral's name for it is "bacterial SSU rRNA". It matches the Rfam family "Bacterial small subunit ribosomal RNA", at positions 260 to 886 of the family's 1533-position model. Lineage: Bacteria; Bacillati; Actinomycetota; Actinomycetes; Kitasatosporales; Streptomycetaceae. The record is from RNAcentral.